Molecule: ribosomal RNA, 253 nt
Filed under: uncultured bacterium
Lineage: Bacteria
Description: partial 16S ribosomal RNA
Rfam family: Bacterial small subunit ribosomal RNA
Source: RNAcentral
GACGUAGGGUGCAAGCGUUGUCCGGAUUUAUUGGGCGUAAAGAGCUCGUAGGCGGCUUGUUGCGUCGACUGUGAAAACCCGCGGCUUAACCGCGGGCUUGCAGUCGGUACGGGCAGGCUAGAGUUCGGUAGGGGAGACUGGAAUUCCUGGUGUAGCGGUGAAAUGCGCAGAUAUCAGGAGGAACACCGGUGGCGAAGGCGGGUCUCUGGGCCGAUACUGACGCUGAGGAGCGAAAGCGUGGGGAGCGAACAGG